AGGAGCAACAGCCCUAGUGGCGGGGCCAGCUCUGCAGCCCUGGAGUCAGCUCCCGCAGUAACUCCGGAGCUCUCCGUCUGCAGGGCCUGGAGGCUCCGGGGCGGG
Molecule: microRNA precursor, 105 nt
Filed under: Canis lupus familiaris (dog)
Lineage: Eukaryota; Metazoa; Chordata; Mammalia; Carnivora; Canidae
Description: mir-8834 microRNA precursor family
Rfam family: mir-8834 microRNA precursor family
Source: Rfam by way of RNAcentral